Molecule: long non-coding RNA, 281 nt
Organism: Perca flavescens (yellow perch)
Lineage: Eukaryota; Metazoa; Chordata; Actinopteri; Perciformes; Percidae
Exons: 4
Source: RefSeq, a predicted model, not a curated record
CCUACGUUCCUGGAUCCGGAGCCUCAUUGCUCUUACCUUUCGUGAGCCUCAACCUCUUUGCCGUCAAAUUGUUGUUGUUUGACGUUCCUGGAUCCUUCUUACGUUCCUGCUUCCUUCCUAUGUUCCUGGAUCCUGAGCCUCAUUGCUCUUACCUUUCGUGAGCCUCAACCUCUUCGCCUCAUUGUUUGACGUUCCUGGAUCCGUCAUACGUUCCUGCUUCCUUCCUACGUUCCUGGAUCCGGAGCCUCAUUGCUCUUACCUUUCGUGAGCCUCAACCUCUU